Molecule: non-coding RNA, 278 nt
Organism: Erinaceus europaeus (western European hedgehog)
Lineage: Eukaryota; Metazoa; Chordata; Mammalia; Eulipotyphla; Erinaceidae
Source: Rfam
AUGUGAGGGCGAUCUGGCUGCAACAUCUGUCACCCCACUGAUUGCCAGGGUUGAUUCUGCUGAUAUGGCUGGCUAGGCAGAUGUCCCUUUCUUCACCAUUCCAUGUGCGUCCCUCCUGAAACGAAGAGGAUGGCCUUCCCCAAAUAGAGACCGGUCUUCGAUCAAGGGUAUACAAGUAGCUACACUCCCCUGCUAGAGCUUCCAUACAAGCUCUCACGUCUGUCAGGACAGUGGGGGAGCAGCCUUGAGAAGAACUAAGGGGGUUUCUGUCUGCUGGC